This 564-nucleotide ribosomal RNA is filed under the name Pseudapocryptes elongatus. RNAcentral's name for it is "partial 16S large subunit ribosomal RNA". It matches the Rfam family "Bacterial large subunit ribosomal RNA", at positions 1845 to 2605 of the family's 2925-position model. The record is from RNAcentral. Lineage: Eukaryota; Metazoa; Chordata; Actinopteri; Gobiiformes; Gobiidae.
AUAAGAGGUCCCGCCUGCCCUGUGACUUACGAGUUUAACGGCCGCGGUAUCCUGACCGUGCAAAGGUAGCGCAAUCACUUGUUUUUUAAAUGGAGACCUGUAUGAAUGGUUUUACGAGGGCUAGACUGUCUCCUUUUUCCAGUCAAUGAAAUUGAUUUUCCUGUGCAGAAGCGGGAAUAACAUCAUAAGACGAGAAGACCCUAUGGAGCUUUAGACACAAGACAGCCUACAUUGAACUAACCAAAACAAUGGGAUGAUAGCAGAGUUAGACCCUGUCCUCAUGUCUUUGGUUGGGGCGACCGUGGGGCACCAAAAACCCCCCAUGUGGAAUGGGGCCUAAACCCCUAAAGUUAGAGCCACAGCUCUUACAAACAGAAUAUCUGACCUUCAAUGACCCGGCACAACCGAUCAACGGACAGAGUUACCCUAGGGAUAACAGCGCAAUCCCCUUCUAGAGCCCAUAUCAACAAGGGGGUUUACGACCUCGAUGUUGGAUCAGGACCCCCUAAUGGUGCAGCCGCUAUUAAGGGUUCGUUUGUUCAACGAUUAAAGUCCUACGUGAUC